Molecule: long non-coding RNA, 1526 nt
Filed under: Phocoena sinus (vaquita)
Lineage: Eukaryota; Metazoa; Chordata; Mammalia; Artiodactyla; Phocoenidae
Description: lncRNA (ENSPSNG00000001372.1)
Source: RNAcentral
GGGCCCAGGCCGCAGGCAGAGGGGCUCAGAGGAGGCUGAUGGGGGGCCCGAGGGAGUGUGGCGUCAUCGGCUGAGAGCCGCUCCGGCCUGAGCUGAGACCCGAUGGGACGGGACGGGGCGGGACGGCAUGGUGGCUCCCCGGCCCCAGGCGAAGCCGCACGGUGAGAAGCAGCAGCCGCCCCGAGCUUCUCUGCAGAGACGAGGACAGUGUCCUCCCCUCACAGGGUGACAAGCGGGAAGCGGCUGCCCCUCCCUCCCUGGCAGCUGACCUGGGGGCCGCGGCCCAGCCCCCUUCCCCGCCCGGCUGAGACCCACAGCAGGUCGGGAUGGCUCUGCGGAAGCUUGGCCUGCACGCCUGGCACUGAGUUCUCUCGAGUUCCGCCCGAGGCCUCAGCCCCCAGGAACCAGUGGGACCGACGCCGGUGCUGGGGGCUCCCGUGGUGGCUGAUGAGUCUGGAGUGUCACCAGGAGGGGACGCGGUCCCCGCCCAGCCUGCCGGCAGCCUCUGACGGAUCCCGGGGCUCACGCUCCGCCCCUGCUCUCUGGGGCCGCGGCCCCCUUGCUGCACCCCGGCAGCCUGGCCGAGGCAGGGAGAAACCAGCUGGCUCUGGUCUCUUGCCCCUGGCGUGGCUGCUCCGAUUUCCCGUCUGGAGAGCAACGGGCGGCACCGGCCUCUUCCUGCCGACGUGCAGCGCGUCAUGAAACGCAGCCUGCUGCUCGGCCGAGGCCGCCGCCCCUCGCCGCUCCGCAGUCCACGUGCAGCCGUGCUUUCCCCGGGAAGGACGCUGUCCGGCGGUGGGUUCAGAGGCGGUGAUCCCUCUAGCGACUCGGAGCGGACGGUGGCUGCGUCCAUACCUCCCGACCUGGGUGUGCCGGCGGGGUCAGGGCCACGCCCAAGGCCCACAGGACGACUUUGCAUCCAUCCAGGCUCUGCCACGCUUUUCAAGCCUCAGAAUGGAACCUUGUGCCUUAGUUUCCUUCUCCCGCUGCUCCACAGGCGAGCAGAGGGCCUGGGGCAGCGGGGGGUCGCCAAGGGGGAGGCCGAGGUUGAGGCUCCCGCCGCGGCCCAGGGGCUCCUGACUGCCACACCGGGACACCCGGCAACCUUUUUUCUACACAAGUACAGUUAGUGGGGUAAACUGUUGAAGCAGCUUGCUUUUGAAAAACCUUUUUAUUUCCACGUGAAGUUUCACACAUAGCACAGAGGGGUCCGGGGUACCCUGCACUGGGUUUCCUGCAAUGUUUGCAUCUUCUGUGAUGCUAGGACGCUGUGACCAGGAGACCCUGCUAGUGCUGAGCCCUUUCUCACAGGUGAGGCUCCCCUGUGCCCGCCUUGUACUCGGGGGCAGCACGGUCGGUGGGUCCCUUCGCCACAAGGGCCUCCCUCCUGCUCCCUUGAGGGCCACACGCCCCCACCAUCUCUAACCCAGACGGCCGCUAGUGAAGCAAUUGAGUUGAAAGACAGCAGACCCUCGAUUUUCCACAGAAUGUGGGGAUUCCCAAUAAACACGAGGCGCUGUGAUGCC